AGAUGGGACUCUGAAGAGACCGCAUCGCUUAUUUUACGAGGCUGGCGGCACCGAAGGGGAUACAUGCCGGCAGGCAUAUAAGCUCUCAGGUAAAGAUAACAGGGGUAUGGAA
Molecule: non-coding RNA, 112 nt
Filed under: Peptoclostridium acidaminophilum
Lineage: Bacteria; Bacillati; Bacillota; Clostridia; Peptostreptococcales; Peptoclostridiaceae
Description: Glycine sequence
Rfam family: Glycine riboswitch aptamer
About the family: This family represents the bacterial glycine riboswitch. Glycine riboswitches usually consist of two metabolite-binding aptamers domains with similar structures in tandem.
Source: RNAcentral